GACGAACGCUGGCGGCGUGCCUAAUACAUGCAAGUAGAACGCACAGUUUAUACCGUAGCUUGCUACACCAUAGACUGUGAGCUGCGAACGGGUGAGUAACGCGUAGGUAACCUGCCUGGUAGCGGGGGAUAACUAUUGGAAACGAUAGCUAAUACCGCAUAAUAUUAAUUAUUGCAUGAUAAUUAAUUGAAAGGUGCAAUUGCACCACUACCAGAUGGACCUGCGUUGUAUUAGCUAGUAGGUGAGGUAACGGCUCACCUAGGCGACGAUACAUAGCCGACCUGAGAGGGUGAUCGGCCACACUGGGACUGAGACACGGCCCAGACUCCUACGGGAGGCAGCAGUAGGGAAUCUUCGGCAAUGGACGAAAGUCUGACCGAGCAACGCCGCGUGAGUGAAGAAGGUUUUCGGAUCGUAAAGCUCUGUUGUAAGAGAAGAACGGGUGUGAGAGUGGAAAGUUCACACUGUGACGG
RNAcentral lists this ribosomal RNA (473 nucleotides) under uncultured bacterium. RNAcentral describes it as "bacterial SSU rRNA". It matches the Rfam family "Bacterial small subunit ribosomal RNA", at positions 28 to 475 of the family's 1533-position model. The record is from RNAcentral.